AGGACGAACGCUGGCGGCGUGCUUAACACAUGCAAGUCGAGCGGAAAGGCCCUUCGGGGUACUCGAGCGGCGAACGGGUGAGUAACACGUGAGUAAUCUGCCCCUAGCUCUGGGAUAGCUCCGGGAAACCGGGAUUAAUACCGGAUACGACCACCUUAGACAUCUUUUGUGGUGGAAAGAAUUUCGGCUAGGGAUGAGCUCGCGGCCUAUCAGCUUGUUGGUGGGGUAACGGCCUACCAAGGCGACGACGGGUAGCCGGCCUGAGAGGGCGACCGGCCACACUGGGACUGAGACACGGCCCAGACUCCUACGGGAGGCAGCAGUGGGGAAUAUUGCGCAAUGGGCGAAAGCCUGACGCAGCGACGCCGCGUGGGGGAUGAAGGCCUUCGGGUUGUAAACCCCUUUCAGCAGGGACGAAGCGAAGUGACGGUACCUGCAGAAGAAGCGCCGGCUAACUACGCGCCACGCAGCCGC
RNAcentral lists this ribosomal RNA (474 nucleotides) under uncultured bacterium. Its description in RNAcentral is "SSU rRNA". It matches the Rfam family "Bacterial small subunit ribosomal RNA", at positions 26 to 518 of the family's 1533-position model. The record is from RNAcentral.